RNAcentral lists this ribosomal RNA (405 nucleotides) under uncultured bacterium. RNAcentral's name for it is "partial 16S ribosomal RNA". It matches the Rfam family "Bacterial small subunit ribosomal RNA", at positions 30 to 526 of the family's 1533-position model. The record is from RNAcentral.
AUUGAACGCUAGCGGGAUGCUUUACACAUGCAAGUCGAACGAGUGGCGGACGGGUGAGUAAUAUAUCGGAACGUGCCCAAUCUCGGGGGAUAACUACUCGAAACAGUGGCUAAUACCGCAUACUAUUGUAGCGGCCGAUAUCGGAUUAGCUAGUUGGUGGGGUAAAGGCUCACAAAGGCAACGAUGCGUAGCUGGUUUGAGAGGACGACCAGCAACACUGGGACUGAGACACGGCCCAGCCUCCUACGGGAGGCAGCAGUGGGGAAUUUUUGAAAAUGGGGGAAACCCUGAUCCAGCAAUCCCGCGGGUAUGAGAAGGCCUUCGGGUUGUAAAGUACUUUCAGUCGGGAGGCGUUACCGACAGAAGAAGCACCGGCUAACUCCGUGCCAGCAGCCGCGGUAAUUC